UACGAAGGUCCCAAGCGUUAUCCGGAUUUAUUGGGUUUAAAGGGUGCGUAGGCGGAUUAUUAAGUCAGUGGUGAAAGCCCCAAGCCUAACUUGGGAAUUGCCAUUGAUACUGAUGAUCUUGAGUACAUUUGAAGUGGGCGGAAUGUGUCAUGUAGCGGUGAAAUGCUUAGAUAUGACACAGAACACCGAUUGCGUAGGCAGCUCACUAAACUGUAACUGACGCUGAGGCACGAAAGCGUGGGGAGCAAACAGG
This 253-nucleotide ribosomal RNA is filed under the name uncultured bacterium. RNAcentral's name for it is "partial 16S ribosomal RNA". It matches the Rfam family "Bacterial small subunit ribosomal RNA", at positions 524 to 776 of the family's 1533-position model. The record is from RNAcentral.